This 500-nucleotide ribosomal RNA is filed under the name uncultured bacterium. Its description in RNAcentral is "partial 16S ribosomal RNA". It matches the Rfam family "Bacterial small subunit ribosomal RNA", at positions 30 to 523 of the family's 1533-position model. The record is from RNAcentral.
AUUGAACGCUGGCGGAAUGCUUUACACAUGCAAGUCGAACGGCAGCACGGACUUCGGUCUGGUGGCGCGUGGCGAACGGGUGAGUAAUGUAUCGGAACGUGCCCAGUCGUGGGGGAUAACGUAGUGAAAAUUACGCUAAUACCGCAUACGAUCUAUGGAUGAAAGCGGGGGAUCGCAAGACCUCGCGCGAUUGGAGCGGCCGAUAUCAGAUUAGGUAGUUGGUGGGGUAAAGGCCCACCAAGCCAACGAUCGGUAGCUGGUCUGAGAGGACGACCAGCCACACUGGAACUGAGACACGGUCCAGACUCCUACGGGAGGCAGCAGUGGGGAAUUUUGGACAAUGGGCGAAAGCCUGAUCCAGCCAUUCCGCGUGCAGGAUGAAGGCCCUCGGGUUGUAAACUGCUUUUGUACAGAACGAAAAGGUUUCUACUAAUACUAGGAGCUCAUGACGGUACUGUAAGAAUAAGCACCGGCUAACUACGUGCCAGCCGCCGCGGUAA